Molecule: ribosomal RNA, 667 nt
Filed under: Guttipelopia guttipennis
Lineage: Eukaryota; Metazoa; Arthropoda; Insecta; Diptera; Chironomidae
Description: partial 28S ribosomal RNA
Rfam family: Eukaryotic large subunit ribosomal RNA
Source: RNAcentral
UGUCUAGGGGUUCAAACCUAAAGAACCCAAAUAUCUAAACGGAGAAAUUCAAUACUGUCUCGCAAGAGAUGGUGUGCACUUUUCUCUUAGUAAGACGUUGUGAUCCAUUAGGAAUCGAGUUUUACGACUCAUUAGGCUACCAAUAGGCGGGCAUUGAAGUUCAUUUUGGUAAAUAAUACAAUCUUUUGGUUGUGUACAUUACCUGGUGAGCGUGCCAUGUUCUGAUGUAGCUGCCUGAUGGAUUUUAAAGGUCAUAUCAUUGAUGCUUGCAUCGCCCGACAUUAAAUUGGGAUUUUUGGAUAUGUACCCGAUCAACAGCGCUCUCAUUUGGGAUACCUUUUGGACCCGUCUUGAAACACGGACCAAGGAGUCUAUCUAGUAUGCGAGUAAAUGGGAUUAGAACUAAACCUAUUUGCGUAAAUAACUUAACUGUUUCUAAUGGGAUUACGUGUACCAUUUUGUGUGCACCUCCAUCCCGGGGUAUUUUCAUCACAUAUAUGGGCAACUAUAUAUAGAAAAUAUACCAUGAGCAUACUGGACAUGACCCGAAAGAUGGUGAACUAUGCCUGAUCAGGUUGAAGUCAGGGGAAACCCUGAUGGAGGACCGAAGCAAUUCUGACGUGCAAAUCGAUUGUCAGAAUUGGGCAUAGGGGCGAAAGACCAAUCG